This 254-nucleotide ribosomal RNA is filed under the name uncultured bacterium. RNAcentral's name for it is "partial 16S ribosomal RNA". It matches the Rfam family "Bacterial small subunit ribosomal RNA", at positions 524 to 775 of the family's 1533-position model. The record is from RNAcentral.
UACGGAGGGUGCAAGCGUUGCUCGGAAUUAUUGGGCGUAAAGGGUAGGUAGGUGGUCUCAUUUGUCUGGGGUGAAAUCCUUGGGCUUAACUCAAGUAGUGCCCUAGAAACGGUGAGACUUUCGAGUCCUGGAGAGGCUAGUGGAAUUCCCGGUGUAGCGGUGAAAUGCGUAGAGAUCGGGAGGAACACCAGAGGCGAAGGCGGCUAGCUGGACAGGCACUGACACUCAACUACGAAAGCGUGGGGAGCAAACAG